This 491-nucleotide ribosomal RNA is filed under the name uncultured bacterium. RNAcentral describes it as "partial 16S ribosomal RNA". It matches the Rfam family "Bacterial small subunit ribosomal RNA", at positions 29 to 523 of the family's 1533-position model. The record is from RNAcentral.
AUUGAACGCUGGCGGAAUGCUAAGCACAUGCAGGUCGAGCGAGCUGUAGCAAUACAGCUAGCGGCGGACGGGUGAGGAAUACACAGGAAUCUGCCUCAGAGCGGGGGAUAGCCCGGGGAAACUCGGAGUAAUACCGCAUGAUGUCGCAAGACCAAAGUGGGGGACCGCAAGGCCCCACACUCUGAGAUGAGCCUAUGUCUGAUUAGCUAGUUGGCGGGGUAAUGGCCCACCAAGGCGAUGAGCAGUAGCUGGUCUGAGAGGGCGAUCAGCCACACCGGAACUGAGACACGGUCCGGACUCCUACGGGAGGCAGCAGUGGGGAAUAUUGGACAAUGGGCGCAAGCCUGAUCCAGCAAUUCCGCGUGGGUGAAGAAGGCCUUCGGGUUGUAAAGCCCUUUAAGUUGGGACAAAAAAAUCGGCGAUCACAUCGCCGGUCUUGAUGGUACCGACAGAAUAAGCAACGGCUAACUCUGUGCCAGCCGCCGCGGUAA